Molecule: unclassified non-coding RNA, 221 nt
Filed under: Rozellomycota sp.
Lineage: Eukaryota; Fungi; Rozellomycota
Description: Cryptomycota sp. partial contains small subunit ribosomal RNA, internal transcribed spacer 1, and 5.8S ribosomal RNA
Rfam family: Eukaryotic small subunit ribosomal RNA (bases 1-47)
Source: RNAcentral
AAAGUCGUAACAAGGUUUCCGUAGGUGAACCUGCGGAAGGAUCAUUGCAAAUCUGUAAGUGGGAGGCAGGUGGGGUGCAGUGGGAUCAAAACCACUGUACCCCACCAGCCGCCGACAUUUGGUCGGGACGCGAGUCUCGGAUCAUAUUCACGCUUGUGCCGUUUGACAGAGUAACAAUGUACAUGAUGAGACAACUUUUAACAAUGGAUCUCUUGGCUCUU